UACGUAGGGUGCAAGCGUUAAUCGGAAUUACUGGGCGUAAAGCGUGCGCAGGCGGUUAUGUAAGACAGAUGUGAAAUCCCCGGGCUUAACCUGGGAACUGCAUUUGUGACUGCAUGGCUAGAGUGCGGCAGAGGGGGAUGGAAUUCCGCGUGUAGCAGUGAAAUGCGUAGAUAUGCGGAGGAACACCGAUGGCGAAGGCAAUCCCCUGGGCCUGCACUGACGCUCAUGCACGAAAGCGUGGGGAGCAAACAGG
Molecule: ribosomal RNA, 253 nt
Filed under: uncultured bacterium
Lineage: Bacteria
Description: partial 16S ribosomal RNA
Rfam family: Bacterial small subunit ribosomal RNA
Source: RNAcentral